Molecule: long non-coding RNA, 87 nt
Organism: Sinocyclocheilus grahami
Lineage: Eukaryota; Metazoa; Chordata; Actinopteri; Cypriniformes; Cyprinidae
Exons: 3
Source: RefSeq, a predicted model, not a curated record
UUUAAAAUCUAUUACUUGAACCUUUCCAUUCCACAAAAGGUUCUUUAUAACGGAAAAAGGUUAUUCAGACUAUUUAAAUAUUCUUCA